Molecule: long non-coding RNA, 596 nt
Organism: Amblyraja radiata (thorny skate)
Lineage: Eukaryota; Metazoa; Chordata; Chondrichthyes; Rajiformes; Rajidae
Exons: 2
Source: RefSeq, a predicted model, not a curated record
CGGCUUCAAUCCGUUCGUUCACGGGGCUUUUCAUUGGCCGGCGGGGGCUUCAACAUCGGGAGCCUCAAUCACCUCGAUGCAGCAGUUUGAUUUUAAGCUGCGACGGGCGCUGAAAGGCCCCGCGAAUGGGCCGAUUCAGCCCUUAGAAAGCAUCUGAUAAAGUCCGGAUUACAAAACAUGGGGGGAUUGCCCCCCACCCCUCGAAGCAUAGGGAGGACAUGUCGUUGAUUUCCAAUACCAAUACCAUGAUAUUUAGCAAAAUAAUUUGCAAUGGAAAGAGAAUAAUUUGAAGAUGUCAGAUAAUAGCAUAGAUAACAGUAGGCAGGUGAAUAUUAAAAUAAAUGCCAUAUCCAUUUUGUGUCAACAAAGAAAGAAAUCGAUUUUUGGAAUCCAUUCCAAAAUUGUAUUUUAACAAGAAGCCCCAUUUAAAUUAAAGGAUUUAAUGAAAUGUCAAAAUGUAAACUUAUAAUAGUGUGUUUUAUUACUUUGGGGGAUCAAGGAAAAUAUUACUAAUAAGGUAAAUUCUAUACAUGGCAGCUGUGUGAAUGAGAAUUAAUGAUGUAAUAAACUAUGAAAAUAAAGUUGUGUGAUUCAUA